This 84-nucleotide transfer RNA is filed under the name Spirochaetota bacterium. RNAcentral's name for it is "Spirochaetes bacterium tRNA-Leu". It matches the Rfam family "tRNA". Rfam says of the family: Transfer RNA (tRNA) molecules are approximately 80 nucleotides in length. Their secondary structure includes four short double-helical elements and three loops (D, anti-codon, and T loops). Further hydrogen bonds mediate the characteristic L-shaped molecular structure. tRNAs have two regions of fundamental functional importance: the anti-codon, which is responsible for specific mRNA codon recognition, and the 3' end, to which the tRNAs corresponding amino acid is attached (by aminoacyl-tRNA synthetases). tRNAs cope with the degeneracy of the genetic code in two manners: having more than one tRNA (with a specific anti-codon) for a particular amino acid; and 'wobble' base-pairing, i.e. permitting non-standard base-pairing at the 3rd anti-codon position. Lineage: Bacteria; Pseudomonadati; Spirochaetota. The record is from RNAcentral. RNAcentral also lists the same sequence under 1 other name.
GCCCGGAUGGUGAAAUUGGUAGACACGCUAGUUUCAGGGACUAGUGCUCGCAAGGGCGUGGAGGUUCGAGUCCUCUUCCGGGCA